RNAcentral lists this unclassified non-coding RNA (279 nucleotides) under Hevea brasiliensis (rubber tree). Lineage: Eukaryota; Viridiplantae; Streptophyta; Magnoliopsida; Malpighiales; Euphorbiaceae. The record is from RNAcentral.
AGGCGACGUAGGACGCCAGCAUGACGAAGCUGCAGGCGCGGGAGAGGUCGAGGGACGCCGCGGCCGAGGUGGCGGAGACGGAGUGCUCGCCAGCGGCGACGGCGUAGCGGAGGAGGAGCGGGGCGGAGUGGCAGAGGACGGCGAGGAAGAGGAGGGCGGUGCUGACGUCGGACUGGUUGCGGUCGUAGGGCUGGCGGGCGCCGAGGUUGACGACGCCGCCGCAGAAGAGGGAGGUGCCGAGGACGAGGAGGAGGUUGGAGAGGACGGAGCCCAGCAGGG